UUUUUUUUUUUUUUUUUUUUGGAGUUGCUCUGUUGCCCAGGCUGAGUGCAGUGGUGCGAUCUUGGCUCACUGCAACCUCUGCCUCCCAGGUUCAAGCAAUUCUCCUGCCUCCGCCUCCUGAGUAGCUGGCAUUACAGGCACACGCCACCACAUCUGCCUACACAGUUGUUUUGAAAGGAAGAGAACACUGAUUCCAGGGGCUUAUCCCAGGAAUGGACGUCAGUUUAUGAGUGGACACAGCGUAUCAGGCAAGUGUUCUUGUGCAUCUGGCUAGCCGUCCUUGUGACUCACGUAGCGAGCUGCAAAGUCCUGGCAAAAAAAUUUAAAAAAAAAAGGUCUUGUUUCAGGCGUCUGCGCCUCAGAGCCCUUCCCAGAGGCUUCGGAAGGGCUCUGAUCACAGGCAGGUGUGCGGGUGGGGUCUCCUUCACAACCUCCCGGCUACAUUAUUUUGUUGUUGCUCUUACGGUUGGACAAAAGUGGCUCCAUUUUGAUUCUGACAACUUUCACAGAGCCGGGGGCUCAGGGCUGUUGUGAAGACUUAAUUAGUGCAGGGUCUGCUGCAGAGUUAGCAGGGGGAGCAGGGGGGAAGAGGUGAACCCUGACCUUCAUGAACACGAGGUAAGUCCUGAACACCCUUGAAACCUGUUUCCGAUCUGAGGGUCUGCACACCACACAGUGGGCCAAAUGGUAGCGGAAGCAGUUCCUUCCUAGAGCACAAAUCUCUUAAAUUCCUAAUUAAGGGCUGUGUAGGCAGGACCUCCCUCUGUCCCAUCCCACCUACCAGGGAGGGACAUCCAGGCAUUCCUCACACACAGAAGAACUUGGGUCAGGUACCUGGGAUGGGAACAAGAAGGGACUGUCCCACCCCCAAGGCAGGAGACACCCCAACCUCCUCCCCACGGGCUUCCUGGGGAGGCCUCUCAACAGGCCAUGGAGCCUCCCUCAGCAGCACAAGCAGGGCAUUGGGGCCUCAGCCUGCGGGAAGCUGCAGGCACAGGAGCAGGUUCAGUGAAGGGGGCGUUUAGCCAGGCACCCUGAGCCCUGAUCUGGCCACCCCCCAGCAGUAGUGACAUUGGCAGGGAUGGCUGGCAGGUGAGCCCUAGUGCAUGGUUGUCCCCUGAGAGUGAGGAACAAAAGACAAUUCUGCCCUGAAAGGUGCUUCGGGCAUCUAUAUGGAUGUGUGGAAAGGAAAGUUUAUGAAGUCAAGGAUGCGGCAAUUGUGUUUAGUGGUUUAACUUUGAUCUUAUAUGACAGGAACCAGGAGGACAAUUGUAUUCCAAUAGCGCUCUGGUGAGUUGAAAACCUGUUUUUGUUUUGUUUUUUUUUUUGAGACGGAGUCUCGCUCUGUCGCCCAGGCUGGAGUACAGUGGCCGGAUCUCAGCUCACUGCAAGCUCCGCC
RNAcentral lists this long non-coding RNA (1399 nucleotides) under Macaca fascicularis (crab-eating macaque). RNAcentral describes it as "lncRNA (ENSMFAG00000049944.1)". Lineage: Eukaryota; Metazoa; Chordata; Mammalia; Primates; Cercopithecidae. The record is from RNAcentral.